CAGCAGCCGCGGGAAUACGUAGGGUGCGAGCGUUAAUCGGAAUUACUGGGCGUAAAGCGUGCGCAGGCGGUUAUAUAAGUCAGAUGUGAGAUCCCCGGGCUCAACCUGGGAACUGCAUUUGAGACUGUAUGGCUAGAGUGUGUCAGAGGGGGGUAGAAUUCCACGUGUAGCAGUGAAAUGCGUAGAUAUGUGGAGGAAUACCGAUGGCGAAGGCAGCCCCCUGGGAUAACACUGACGCUCAUGCACGAAAGCGUGGGGAGCAAACAGGAUUAGAUACCCGAGUAGUCCCUGUCUCUUAUAU
RNAcentral lists this ribosomal RNA (301 nucleotides) under uncultured bacterium. RNAcentral's name for it is "partial 16S ribosomal RNA". It matches the Rfam family "Bacterial small subunit ribosomal RNA", at positions 509 to 809 of the family's 1533-position model. The record is from RNAcentral.